RNAcentral lists this ribosomal RNA (1450 nucleotides) under Salinivibrio kushneri. RNAcentral's name for it is "bacterial SSU rRNA". It matches the Rfam family "Bacterial small subunit ribosomal RNA". The record is from RNAcentral. Lineage: Bacteria; Pseudomonadati; Pseudomonadota; Gammaproteobacteria; Vibrionales; Vibrionaceae.
GGCGGCAGGCCUAACACAUGCAGUCGAGCGGAACGGCAGCAUUGAAGCUUCGGUGGAUUUGCUGGACGUCGAGCGGCGGACGGGUGAGUAACGGCUGGGAACCUGCCCUGACGCGGGGGAUAACCGUUGGAAACGACGGCUAAUACCGCAUAAUGUCUUAGUUCAUUACGAGCUGGGACCAAAGGUGGCCUCUACAUGUAAGCUAUCGCGUUGGGAUGGGCCCAGUUAGGAUUAGCUAGUUGGUAAGGUAAUGGCUUACCAAGGCGACGAUCCUUAGCUGGUUUGAGAGGAUGAUCAGCCACACUGGGACUGAGACACGGCCCAGACUCCUACGGGAGGCAGCAGUGGGGAAUAUUGCACAAUGGGGGAGACCCUGAUGCAGCCAUGCCGCGUGUGUGAAGAAGGCCUUCGGGUUGUAAAGCACUUUCAGCAGUGAGGAAGGUGGUGUACUAAUAAGUGCAUGGCUGACGUUGACCUGCAAAAUAAGCACCGGCUAACUCCGUGCCAGCAGCCGCGGUAAUACGGAGGGUGCGAGCGUUAAUCGGAAUUACUGGGCGUAAAGCGCAUGCAGGCAGUUUGUUAAGUCAGAUGUGAAAGCCCGGGGCUCAACCUCGGAACCGCAUUUGAAACUGGCAGGCUAGAGUCUUGUAUAGGGUGGUAGAAUUUCAGGUGUAGCGGUGAAAUGCAUAAAGAUCUGGAAGGAAUACCAGUGGGAAAGCGGCCCCCUGGACAAGACUGACGCUCAGAUGCAAAAGCGUGGGUAGCAACAGGAUUAGAUACCCUGGGUAGUCCACGCCGUAAACGCGGUCUACUUGGAGGUUGAGGUUUAGACUUUGGCUUUCGGCGCUAACGCAUUAAGUAGACCGCCUGGGGAGUACGGCCGCAAGGUUAAAACUCAAAUGAAUUGACGGGGGCCCGCACAAGCGGUGGAGCAUGUGGUUUAAUUCGAUGCAACGCGAAGAACCUUACCUACUCUUGACAUCCAGAGAAUUUUCCAGAGAUGGAUGGGUGCCUUCGGGAGCUCUGAGACAGGUGCUGCAUGGCUGUCGUCAGCUCGUGUUGUGAAAUGUUGGGUUAAGUCCCGCAACGAGCGCAACCCUUAUCCUUGUUUGCCAGCACGUAAUGGUGGGAACUCCAGGGAGACUGCCGGUGAUAAACCGGAGGAAGGUGGGGACGACGUCAAGUCAUCAUGGCCCUUACGAGUAGGGCUACACACGUGCUACAAUGGCAGAUACAGAGGGCAGCGAAGCUGCGAAGUGGAGCGAAUCCCUUAAAGUCUGUCGUAGUCCGGAUUGGAGUCUGCAACUCGACUCCAUGAAGUCGGAAUCGCUAGUAAUCGUGGAUCAGAAUGCCACGGUGAAUACGUUCCCGGGCCUUGUACACACCGCCCGUCACACCAUGGGAGUGGGCUGCACCAGAAGUAGAUAGCUAACCUCGGAGGGCGUUACCC